Molecule: ribosomal RNA, 497 nt
Filed under: uncultured bacterium
Lineage: Bacteria
Description: partial 16S ribosomal RNA
Rfam family: Bacterial small subunit ribosomal RNA
Source: RNAcentral
GACGAACGCUGGCGGCGUGCCUAAUACAUGCAAGUCGAGCGAUGAAGAUUUGUGCUUGCACCAAUUUGAAGAGCAGCGAACGGGUGAGUAACGCGUGGGGAAUCUGCCUUUGAGCGGGGGACAACAUUCGGAAACGAAUGCUAAUACCGCAUAACAACUUUAAAAAUAAGUUUCAAGGUUGAAAGAUGCAAUUGCAUCACUCAAAGAUGAUCCCGCGUUGUAUUAGCUAGCUGGUUGGGUAAAGGCUCACCAAGGCGAUGAUACAUAGCCGACCUGGGAGGGUGGUCCGCCAAAUUGGGACUGGGGCACGGCCCCAGCUCCUACGGGGGGCCGCCGUAGGGGAUCUUCGGACAUGGAGGGAAGGCCGGCCGAGCCACGCCGCGUGGGUGGAGGAGGUUUUCCGGUCGUAAAACUCUGUUGGUAAGGAAGGACGUUGGUGAGAGUGGAAAGCUCAUCAAGUGACGGUAACUACCCAGAAAGCGACGGCUAACUACGUG